AGAGUUUGAUCCUGGCUCAGAACGAACGCUGGCGGCGUGCUUAAUAUAUGCAAGUCGAACGGGAUUAGGGGCUUGCUCCUAAUCUAGUGGCGCACGGGUGAGUAAUGCGUGGAUAAUCUGCCUGAUGAUCUGGGAUAACAUUUCGAAAGGGGUGCUAAUACCGGAUAAGCCCACGAAGACUUCGGUUUUUGCGGGAAAAGAGGGGGACCUUCGGGCCUCUUGUCAUCAGAUGAGUCCGCGUACCAUUAGCUAGUUGGUGGGGUAAAGGCCUACCAAGGCGAUGAUGGUUAGCUGGUCUGAGAGGAUGAUCAGCCACACUGGAACUGAGACACGGUCCAGACUCCUACGGGAGGCAGCAGUGGGGAAUUUUGCGCAAUGGGGGAAACCCUGACGCAGCAACGCCGCGUGAGUGAUGAAGGCCUUCGGGUCGUAAAGCUCUGUCUAGAGGAAAGAAGUGUGGGGCGGCUAAUAACCGUUUCACUUGACGGUACCUCUGAAGGAAGCACCGGCUAACUCCGUGCCAGCAGUUGCGGUAAUACGGAGGGUGCGAGCGUUGUUCGGAAUUAUUGGGCGUAAAGCGCGUGUAGGCGGUUUCUUAAGUCUGAUGUGAAAGCCCCGGGUUUAACCUGGGAAGUGCAUUGGAUACUGGGAGACUUGAGUACGGGAGAGGGUAGUGGAAUUCCUAGUGUAGGAGUGAAAUCCGUAGAUAUUAGGAGGAACACCGGUGGCGAAGGCGGCUGCCUGGACCGAUACUGACGCUGAGACGCGAAAGCGUGGGUAGCAAACAGGAUUAGAUAUCCUGGUAGUCCACGCCGUAAACGAUGAGUACUAGGUGUUGCGGGUAUUGACCCCUGCAGUGCCGCAGCUAAUGCAUUAAGUACUCCGCCUGGGAAGUACGGUCGCAAGACUAAAACUCAAAGGAAUUGACGG
Molecule: ribosomal RNA, 930 nt
Filed under: uncultured Geobacter sp.
Lineage: Bacteria; Pseudomonadati; Thermodesulfobacteriota; Desulfuromonadia; Geobacterales; Geobacteraceae
Description: bacterial SSU rRNA
Rfam family: Bacterial small subunit ribosomal RNA
Source: RNAcentral